This is a long non-coding RNA of Oncorhynchus nerka (sockeye salmon), 1974 nucleotides long. RefSeq lists it as uncharacterized. NCBI's taxonomy places the organism in Eukaryota, Metazoa, Chordata, Actinopteri, Salmoniformes, Salmonidae. The record is from RefSeq and is a predicted model, not a curated record. The transcript is spliced from 2 exons.
AGCCACAGAGCACCUCUCAGGCUCUGACAUGGGGCUGGGACAGCUAGGGAGCUCUCUGGUCCACUCAGGCUGCUGGUGGGUUUAGGUAGUGUCCACAUGCCACUUGAGGUGUCCUACCUGUUCUGUUCCACCUAUUCCUGGGCCAUGUGGUGGAGUUGCUGUGGAUCCCUCGCCUCGGGAGGAAGGUGCCAACCAGAGGUCAGGAGUCACUAAUCGACCGCUUAUUACUUAUGCCCAGGGCCGGCCCUGCCCUUGGUAAUGGUUUUACUGCCCAAGCCUGUGAUUGCAUCCCCUGCCUACCUCUGUCCCCCAUGCUCAGUAACUGGAAUCUGUCCCUGCAGACACACUGUAGAGCAGGGCCGGCUGGUUACUGCGCCCUGGGGUCAGGCUGCUCGCCCUGGCUGCUCACUCUUUUAGAGGACUCACUGGGGAGUUAUAUGUACUGUAUAUAGUUUGCAUGUGGGAGUUUUUUGUUUGUAUAGCUAUAUCACUUACUGCAUAUCAGCAUUUGGACUCACAUCUGUAGUGUUAAGGCAGGAGUGGCCGGCGCAGUGACAUUGAUUACAUUGUAAUGUGUAAUACAAUACCUAUGUGGUAAUACAAUACCUCAUGGUGGUAAUACAAUACCUCAUGGUGGUAAUACAAUACCUCAUGGUGGUAAUACAAUACCUAUGUGGUAAUACAAUACCUCAUGGUGGUAAUACAAUACCUCAUGGUGGUAAUACAAUACCUCAUGGUGGUAAUACAAUACCUCAUGGUGGUAAUACAGUACCUCAUGGUGGUAAUACAAUACCUCAUGGUGGUAAUACAAUACCUCAUGGUGGUAAUACAAUACCUCAUGGUGGUAAUACAAUACCUAUGUGGUAAUACAAUACCUCAUGGUGGUAAUACAAUACCUCAUGGUGGUAAUACAAUACCUCAUGGUGGAUCCAUGAGGUGAACCAGUGAACAUCACAUUUAGAUUUGAAUCAUUUAGCAGAUGCUCUUGUCAAGAGUGACUUACAGGUAGCUAGGUGGGAGAACCACAUAUCACAAGUAUCAUAAGUAGAGUCAGAGCUAAAGAAGGGGGGGGUUAUUUAAGAGUGUUUGAAGAGGAAGGGUUUCAGAAGUUUUCGGAAGUUGGGUAGGGUAUGUAUGUGUGAACCACGCAACACUUGCAAAUAAAGGACCAUCAACUCCAUUUUAUGUCUGGACAUGACCGUAUUAUUAUUAUUGAACAUAUGGGCAAUUACAUCUGUUUUUCCAACCAGUUGCACUUCUAACUGGUUUUGUUGUAGUCCUGGGAUACUAUUUCCUACUUUGUUUAUUUAGCAGUGUGAAUGUUAACUUAGAGCUGAGCUGGUGUAAGUCUGGGGAGGGGGAAGAAGGGGGAGGGGAGAGAAGGGCCAGGUGUGAUGGUGUCAAGACUCGUCAGGAGCAGUCAGGAGGUGCUGACUGUGGAGCCUGUAUGGUGUCACCUUCCACACCUUCAGAGGUGAGCAGCAGGACCUGUAGCUGCAGCUGUAGAAACAUCCUGCCCAAGAGGAGACACCCUCAAGACAAAGGCCCUACCGAGGAGACAGCAUCUACAAACAACCACACAUCAUCACAAACACUUCCUUCAGCAGGCAAGUGGGGCCAUGCCUUUUCCCAACAGUAGCUCAGUGUUAGGUUUGUCCACUAGGAGGCGAGAGGGAGACAUGUUUAUAGUGCAGGUGUGGUCAGACUAAGUUCUCCAAUGACCUCAAUGCUGUCGGAUGCUCUUCCAUAAUGAUUGUAAGGGAUUGUAAAAGUAAACAAAACAAUUGUGGCAGUGAACAUGAUUCUUUAGCUCCAUAAAGUUUAUUGUUGAUUUUUUUCUCCCACUUUAAAUAAUAAGUGUCUGUGCAAACUUUGACUGUGUAUUAAUAAGUGCAUGUAUGCAUGAUGAAAUAAAUACGUGGUACUCCUUUGUCACCACACUCCACAUGUCAGUGCAUCAUGACAUGAGCCACA